UUGGAGUAUUGGUACUAUAGAGUCCGAACUCCUAACAUUGAUGACUGGGUACUUGAGUGAUGCAACUGCUGCUGUGGAUGCCUUAUCAGUUUGCAUGACUAUUAAUGGUUGGGAACUCGAUCAUGAUUCCUUUAGCCUUCUUUACUGGGACAGGAUCUUUUGAAGCUGCUGGUGCUUUUGAGGACUUUGUAGAGAGUAAUUAUGGGGAAGUUGAUUGUAUCCAUCCACUCUGUGAACCAGCUCUACUUUACAGUCCUACACAUGGUUGAUCCCUUAUUCUAUGUCUGGAAGAUAUCAAGUAACAUAAAACACUUCCUAAUUACAAUUGUUCUAGGGGACUGAAAAAUGCUCUAUAAUAAAAGACUAAUUUUUAGAUUUUUAUUCCAAGCCUUACACUGGUGAUAUCAAGUCCAGUGACCGUAAAAAAAAAUUGGCCUAAACAAUAUUGACAAUAUACAAACAUCUUCUCCACCU
Rosa rugosa (rugosa rose) is the source of this 474-nucleotide long non-coding RNA. RefSeq lists it as uncharacterized. The record is from RefSeq and is a predicted model, not a curated record. NCBI's taxonomy places the organism in Eukaryota, Viridiplantae, Streptophyta, Magnoliopsida, Rosales, Rosaceae. The transcript is spliced from 3 exons.